AUUUCGAUUAUGAUAUCCACAUAUGAUUGACAAGGCUGACAUUCUCAUCACCUAAUAAAAGAGGGAAAAAGAAGAAGAAGAAGAAAUGAAGAUAUAUAGUAUAGCAGCUAUAGGUAAAGAACAUACAAAAAUGUACAUUUGGCUUCAGGUCAGCACUAUGCAGCCAUGGUAAUUCAAAGGCGCAUGUAUAUUAUCAUGUCCUCAAAUCUUGCUUUUUCCAAAAAGUUCUAGAAUUAUGCCAGAUGCUACCAAGGCUUCAGGUCACCCGGUGGUCCAGCGGUCCAGUUCAGGACCCUCUGCCCGGGCUUGAGGAAGACGUUGUCACCGUGCGGGAGCUUGCGCGCGAGCCCGUUCAGGAUCUGGUGGAAUGCAUCUCCCGCCUGAGCAGGCUGGGGGAACAGCAUGGCCU
Molecule: long non-coding RNA, 409 nt
Filed under: Setaria italica (foxtail millet)
Lineage: Eukaryota; Viridiplantae; Streptophyta; Magnoliopsida; Poales; Poaceae
Description: long non-coding RNA (SITA_LNC004164)
Source: RNAcentral